Molecule: long non-coding RNA, 1556 nt
Organism: Cucurbita moschata (crookneck pumpkin)
Lineage: Eukaryota; Viridiplantae; Streptophyta; Magnoliopsida; Cucurbitales; Cucurbitaceae
Exons: 8
Source: RefSeq, a predicted model, not a curated record
UUUUUUCAUACACAAAAACCUCUGAUAAAACUUCAUUCAGUACGACCACCGUUCGUCUGUUUCCUCACGAAGGUGAGAAGCGCGCCAGACAACCAGAAAGAAGAGUAGAAGGCGUUCUCAAAUGCUGGAAUAAUGAUGUUUAUGGCAUCAAACGCACUUGAUUCAUCCAAUUUUAUCAUCCUGUUCUUCCCACUGCUUCAUCUCUUUGUCGAAUUAAGCUAGUUUCAUCCUGUUCUUCAUCGUGUAGCAAUCAUGGUUCAGCUACCAAAGAUCGCUCCCGAAACCGCAUUUCUACUUUCCAGAAGUUCUGUAAUCAUCGAGUUUUCACUUCAAAAGCUUCAAGUUCGGACACGGAUGCGGUGGUAGCGUCCACAAAUGUGGAGGAAGACGUCGAGUCUGCUCAGCUAUUCGAGAAAUUAAAGGAUGCUGAGCGACAACGGGUAAACAAGUUGAAAGAGCUUCAGAGGAAGGUGAAUUUGCAAUUAGAGAGGCAGCUUGUAAUGGCUUCUAGUUGGUAGGGCCUUACUGACCAUGCGGGGAAAAUUAAAGGGAACUGAAAGAGAUCCCGAGAACUCGCACAAAAUUAAUUUGAGUGAUUGCAAGCAAUGUCCAGUUCAUUGAGUACUCAAAUUAUGGCCAAACAAUGUCAGGUUGAUACCUUGUGAUCUGGGAGUUCCUAGGAAGAUAACUAUACCACCACUCAAGCGCAGUGCACUUGGAUCUUUGGAGAAGAGUCGGUUGGCGAGGUCUUUUUUCUUCAGAGUCCAGCUCCCAGUUCUCAAAUUGAAGGCAUACAAGGGAAGGAAUCUUUGUCCAUAAUCAGCUAUGAAUUCCAAAGCUUUUAAAAUGAACUCAAACUCCUCAUUUGGCAUGUAGUAGGGAAAGCUUACUCUUGUCCAUCCAGAAUUGAAAGGUCAAUCUGAUUAUACCUUAGCAAUGGCAGAUCUGUACGCGUGCGAGCAUGCUUCAUCAAUGUUUAGCAGUUUGUGACCAUAAGGUCCCGCACAACUGCAUCCCCCACGAGCCUGAAUGCCGAACAGGUCGCUCAGGAGUGCUGCAACAAAAGGACCAUGAAGAGUUGAGCGACGAGUUCGUCGAAGAGUAAAUGAUAAAAGAUAAUAUGGCCUGUCGCUUAGAAGACGUCCUCCCUAAAAUGCAGAUGUUUCUAUUCUGGUGAAGUUUCUUCAAACCCCUUUCUACAUACUGGUGCUCUCGCUUCUCUAUCUCUUGAAAAUUUUCCAGAGAACAAGGAAACGCAUCAAAAUAUGCCGAAUUUUCAGUUUCGACCAAUCGGAUUCUGUUCAAAACACAAUUUAAAUUGGGUGAGUUUUUCAUUUACCUUUUCACUGAAGCCAUUGACAUAGUUCACAGUGCCACCCCCACAAGUUGAUGGAGGAGAUGAUUUCAAUUUAUAAAGACUUUUGUUCAUCAGAAGGAUUCCAGGUACCUUGCAGCAAAAUCAAAGCAAACAUGGCCUCCAUAUUGAUGAAGAAGUGUAGAAAUAGCUCUUGUAUCUGAAUAAAUUCCAGUGACAUUACUACAAGCUGAGAAAGAUC